Molecule: ribosomal RNA, 404 nt
Filed under: uncultured bacterium
Lineage: Bacteria
Description: bacterial SSU rRNA
Rfam family: Bacterial small subunit ribosomal RNA
Source: RNAcentral
UUUUGGACAAUGGGCGCAAGCCUGAUCCAGCCAUGCCGCGUGAGUGAAGAAGGCCUUCGGGUUGUAAAGCUCUUUCGGCGGGGACGAAACGGUUCGUGCUAAUACCACGGACUACUGACGGUACCCGCAGAAGAAGCACCGGCUAACUACGUGCCAGCAGCCGCGGUAAUACGUAGGGUGCAGGCGUUAAUCGGAAUUACUGGGCGUAAAGCGUGCGCAGGCGGUUUGUUAAGACAGGUGUGAAAUCCCCGGGCUUAACCUGGGAAUUGCGCUUGUAACUGGCAGACUGGAGUGUGGCAGAGGGGGGUGGAAUUCCAAGUGUAGCAGUGAAAUGCGUAGAUAUUUGGAGGAACACCGAUGGCGAAGGCAGCCCCCUGGGCUAACACUGACGCUCAUGCACGAAA